RNAcentral lists this ribosomal RNA (254 nucleotides) under uncultured bacterium. RNAcentral's name for it is "partial 16S ribosomal RNA". It matches the Rfam family "Bacterial small subunit ribosomal RNA", at positions 524 to 776 of the family's 1533-position model. The record is from RNAcentral.
UACGGAGGGUGCAAGCGUUGUUCGGAUUUACUGGGCGUAAAGGGCGCGUAGGCGGCCACGACAAGUCACUUGUGAAAUCUCCGGGCUUAACUCGGAACGGUCAAGUGAUACUGUCGGGCUAGAGUGCAGAAGGGGCAACUGGAAUUCUCGGUGUAGCGGUGAAAUGCGUAGAUAUCGAGAGGAACACCUGCGGCGAAGGCGGGUUGCUGGGCUGACACUGACGCUGAGGCGCGAAAGCCAGGGGAGCGAACGGG